CAAUAGCGUAUAUUAAAGCUGUUGCGGUUAAAAAGCUCGUAGUUGGAUUUCUGUCAAGGACAACUGGUCCGCCCUUCGGGUGAGCACAUAGUUUGGUCUUGGCAUCUUGUUGGAAACUGUUGCUGCACUUGGUUGUGUGGCGCAGCGUCCAGCACUUUCACUUUGAGGAAAUUGGGGUGUUUCAAGCAGGCACAUGCCUUUGGACACAGUAGCAUGGAAUAAUUAGAUUGGGCUUUUGCUCCAACUUGUCGGUUUCUGGAGCUGAGGUGAGAAUUAAUGGGGAUUGUUGGGGGCAUCCGAAUUUAGCCGUCAGAGGUGAAAUUCUUGGAUCUGCUAAAGACGGACAACUGCGAAAGCGUUUGCCCAGGAUGUUUUCAUUG
RNAcentral lists this ribosomal RNA (380 nucleotides) under uncultured eukaryote. Its description in RNAcentral is "partial 18S ribosomal RNA". It matches the Rfam family "Eukaryotic small subunit ribosomal RNA", at positions 592 to 975 of the family's 1831-position model. The record is from RNAcentral.